AAGAAAGAAGCAUAAGUGGUUUGAUGCGGUUGGCUUGAAACCAGCGUACGAGGGUUCGACUCCUU
RNAcentral lists this transfer RNA (65 nucleotides) under Streptopelia orientalis (eastern turtle dove). RNAcentral describes it as "tRNA-Ser". The record is from RNAcentral. RNAcentral also lists the same sequence under 3 other names. Lineage: Eukaryota; Metazoa; Chordata; Aves; Columbiformes; Columbidae.